Molecule: long non-coding RNA, 642 nt
Organism: Bombyx mori (domestic silkworm)
Lineage: Eukaryota; Metazoa; Arthropoda; Insecta; Lepidoptera; Bombycidae
Exons: 2
Source: RefSeq, a predicted model, not a curated record
UUAGUGCGCUUCGGACUACUUGGCGAACAGAUCUCCGCUUUAUAGUGCCGUGUUGUGCAAUUAUAACUUGUAAAACAAAAAAUCAGACCUCAAGUAUAGAGCGAGGAGGUAUAUCUUUCGAUCGGUUUCCUAAAGAACCUAACGCCAGGGAACAAUGGAUUGACGUGACAGGUAAAGGAAACUGGAGACAAAGACGAGUAAUAUUUGCUCUAAACAUUUUACUGAAAAUGAUUUUAUCAUAAAAAAAAUCAGAAUACACUUAGUUUUGAAAAAUUCAUUCGCAAUUAAUAGCAAGCGCCAACUGCUUAACAAAUACGUUUUAUUCCAGCGACAGUGACUAUUUGUAAUUAAUAAAAGUAAAAUAGUUUUUUUUUUUCAAUAUUUAUUUCAUGUUUCAUUUUCUCCAUUCAUUCAUCAGAUAAUUUAUCGAUAAAGAAUAUCGAUUUUAUCAAGCACUAGCGUGUAUGAACAUUUUUAUUGCCUUUUUGCGUGUGUGAGUGUGUAUGCCUACGGGUGUUUUGUGCUAGUUUGCGAACGAAUAUCUGUCCUGAGAUUUAUGUGUGGGUGUUUUUGUUGUGUGCGAAAUACUUGUAAUCACAGUGUGUGUAUGUGUAGAAAUUAAAAUAGUGGGGAUGAAGCGGC